Molecule: ribosomal RNA, 442 nt
Filed under: uncultured bacterium
Lineage: Bacteria
Description: bacterial SSU rRNA
Rfam family: Bacterial small subunit ribosomal RNA
Source: RNAcentral
AAUAUUGCACAAGUGGGGGAAACCCUGAUGCAGCCAUGCCGCGUGUGUGAAGAAGGCCUUCGGGUUGUAAAGCACUUUCAGUAGGGAGGAAGGUAGUGUAGUUAACACCUGCACUAUUUGACGUUACCUACAGAAGAAGCACCGGCUAACUCCGUGCCAGCAGCCGCGGUAAUACGGAGGGUGCGAGCGUUAAUCGGAAUUACUGGGCGUAAAGCGCAUGCAGGCGGCCUGUUAAGUCAGAUGUGAAAGCCCCGGGGCUUAACCUCGGAAUUGCAUUUGAAACUGGCAGGCUAGAGUCUUGUAGAGGGGGUAGAAUUUCAGGUGUAGCGGUGAAAUGCGUAGAGAUCUGAAGGAAUACCAGUGGCGAAGGCGGCCCCCUGGACAAAGACUGACGCUCAGAUGCGAAAGCGUGGGGAGCAAACAGGAUUAGAUACCCUGGGAG